UAGAGUUUGAUCCUGGCUCAGAUUGAACGCUGGCGGCAGGCCUAACACAUGCAAGUCGAGCAGUAACAGAGAUUAGCUUGCUAAUCUGCUGACGAGCGGCGGACGGGUGAGUAAUGCAUAGGAAGUUGCCCAGUAGAGGGGGAUACCAGUUGGAAACGACUGUUAAUACCGCAUAACCUCUUUGGAGCAAAGCAGGGGACCUUCGGGCCUUGCGCUACUGGAUACGCCUAUGUGGGAUUAGCUAGUUGGUGAGGUAAUGGCUCACCAAGGCGACGAUCCCUAGCUGGUCUGAGAGGAUGAUCAGCCACACUGGGACUGAGACACGGCCCAGACUCCUACGGGAGGCAGCAGUGGGGAAUAUUGCACAAUGGGCGAAAGCCUGAUGCAGCCAUGCCGCGUGUAUGAAGAAGGCCUUCGGGUUGUAAAGUACUUUCAGCGAGGAGGAAAGCUCAAUUGUUAAUAGCAGUUGGGUGUGACGUUACUCGCAGAAGAAGCACCGGCUAACUUCGUGCCAGCAGCCGCGGUAAUACGAGGGGUGCAAGCGUUAAUCGGAAUUACUGGGCGUAAAGCGUACGCAGGCGGUUUGUUAAGCGAGAUGUGAAAGCCCCGGGCUCAACCUGGGAACUGCAUUUCGAACUGGCAAACUAGAGUCCUGUAGAGAGGGGUAGAAUUUCA
This 675-nucleotide ribosomal RNA is filed under the name uncultured Vibrionaceae bacterium. RNAcentral's name for it is "bacterial SSU rRNA". It matches the Rfam family "Bacterial small subunit ribosomal RNA", at positions 1 to 671 of the family's 1533-position model. The record is from RNAcentral. Lineage: Bacteria; Pseudomonadati; Pseudomonadota; Gammaproteobacteria; Vibrionales; Vibrionaceae.